CCUACGGGUGGCAGCAGUGAGGAAUAUUGGUCAAUGGACGCAAGUCUGAACCAGCCAAGUAGCGUGAAGGAUGACGGCCCUCCGGGUUGUAAACUGCUUUUAGUUGGGAAUAAAAGGGGGCUCGUGAGCCCCGUAUCGUAUGUACUAUCAGUAAAAGGACCGGCUAAUUCGGUGCCAGCCGCCGCGGUAAUACGGAAGGUCCGAGUGUUACCCGGAUUUAUUGGGUUUAAAGGGUGCGUAGGCGUAAUUCCAAGUCAGCGGUAAAAUUGGGGGUCUCAACCCCGCUUCGCAGUUGAUACUGGCGUUCUUGAGUGGGCGAGAGGUAUGCGGAAUGCGUGGUGUAGCGGUGAAAUGCAUAGAUAUCACGCAGAACUCCGAUUGCGAAGGCAGCAUAC
This 395-nucleotide ribosomal RNA is filed under the name uncultured bacterium. RNAcentral's name for it is "partial 16S ribosomal RNA". It matches the Rfam family "Bacterial small subunit ribosomal RNA", at positions 338 to 729 of the family's 1533-position model. The record is from RNAcentral.